UACGUAGGGAGCAAGCGUUGUUCGGAAUCACUGGGCGUAAAGGGAGCGUAGGCGGAAAGGUCUGUUAGGAGUGAAAGACUCAGGCUCAACCUGGGGAACGCUCUUAAUACUGCCUUUCUUGAGUAUGGGAGAGGGAAACGGAAUUCCAGGUGUAGCGGUGGAAUGCGUAGAUAUCUGGAAGAACACCAGUUGCGAAGGCGGUUUCCUGGCCCAAUACUGACGCUGAGGCUCGAAAGCUAGGGGAG
RNAcentral lists this ribosomal RNA (245 nucleotides) under uncultured bacterium. RNAcentral's name for it is "partial 16S ribosomal RNA". It matches the Rfam family "Bacterial small subunit ribosomal RNA", at positions 524 to 768 of the family's 1533-position model. The record is from RNAcentral.